This 261-nucleotide ribosomal RNA is filed under the name uncultured archaeon. RNAcentral's name for it is "partial 16S ribosomal RNA". It matches the Rfam family "Archaeal small subunit ribosomal RNA", at positions 748 to 1009 of the family's 1478-position model. The record is from RNAcentral.
AGGGUGUAAACGCUGCAGACUUGGUGUUGGAAGUCCUUUGGGGGCAUUCAGUGCCGGAGAGAAGUUGUUAAGUCUGCUACUUGGGGAGUACGUCCGCAAGGAUGAAACUUAAAGGAAUUGGCGGGGGAGCACCGCAACGGGAGGAGCGUGCGGUUUAAUUGGACUCAACGCCGGGAAGCUCACCGGAUAGGACAGCAGAAUGAUUGCCGGGCUGAAGACCCUGCAUGACUAGCUGAGAGGAGGUGCAUGGCGUAGACGUCU